This 823-nucleotide ribosomal RNA is filed under the name uncultured bacterium. RNAcentral describes it as "bacterial SSU rRNA". It matches the Rfam family "Bacterial small subunit ribosomal RNA", at positions 60 to 914 of the family's 1533-position model. The record is from RNAcentral.
AGUCGCACGAGAAAGGGGUUUCGGCCCUGAGUAAAGUGGCGUACGGGUGAGUAACACGUGACUAACCUACCCUCGAGUGGGGAAUAACCUAGAGAAAUCUGGGCUAAUACCGCAUAACACUCAUGAGUCAAAGCAGCAAUGCGCUUGAGGAGGGGGUCGCGGCAGAUUAGCUAGUUGGCGGGGUAAUGGCCCACCAAGGCGAUGAUCUGUAUCCGGCCUGAGAGGGCGCACGGACACACUGGAACUGAAACACGGUCCAGACUCCUACGGGAGGCAGCAGUGGGGAAUUUUGCGCAAUGGGGGAAACCCUGACGCAGCAACGCCGCGUGGAGGAUGAAAUCCCUUGGGAUGUAAACUCCUUUCGAUCGGGACGAUUAUGACGGUGCCGGAAGAAGAAGCCCCGGCUAACUUCGUGCCAGCAGCCGCGGUAAUACGAGGGGGGCAAGCGUUGUUCGGAAUUAUUGGGCGUAAAGGGCGCGUAGGCGGUUUGACAAGUCUUGUGUGAAAUCUCUGGGCUCAACCCAGAGUCUGCACGGGAAACUGUCGGGCUUGAGUAUGGGAGAGGUGAGUGGAAUUUCCGGUGUAGCGGUGAAAUGCGUAGAUAUCGGAAGGAACACCUGUGGCGAAAGCGGCUCACUGGACCAUAACUGACGCUGAGGCGCGAAAGCUAGGGGAGCAAACAGGAUUAGAUACCCUGGUAGUCCUAGCCCUAAACGAUGAUUGCUUGAUGUAGCAGGUACCCAAUCCUGCUGUGUCGAAGCUAACGCGAUAAGCAAUCCGCCUGGGGAGUACGGUCGCAGGCUGAAAACUCAAAGGAAUUGAC